NNNNNNNNNNNNNNNNNNNNNNNNNNNNNNNNNNNNNNNNNNNNNNNNNNNNNCCCGUGCACAAACAGCCCUUGCACACCCACCCCUUGCACACCCACCCCCUUGCACACCCACCCCUUGCACGUGCAGCCGUUGCCCACUCGCUCCUCACAUGCACGCCCCAUGCACAAAUGCCCCUUGCACGCGCACGUUUUGCACGUACGCCCCUGUGCACGCCUGCCCCGUGCACGUGCAUUUUGCACACCCACCCCUUGCACUCCCACCCCGUGCACAAACGCCUUGCACGUGCAGCUGUUGUACACACGCUCCUUGCUUGCACACCCCAUGCACAACCCCCCUCUGCACGUGCAAACACUGCGCACGCCCACUUUUGCACGCGCACCCCUUGCAUUUGCAGCCCAUACACAGGCGGCCUUGCACUUGCAAGCUUUGCACGUGCACCCCUUGCACACCCACCCCUUGCACCUGCAAGGUUUGCACACCCACCCCUUGCCAGCAGGUGCACCCCUGACACACCCACCCUGUGCACAUGCAGUUUGCACGUGCAUCCUUGCACGCUCAGCCGUGCACACUCCCCUCUUGCACAUGCAUGCUUUGCACGUCCACCCCUUGCACCAUUACCCCGUGCACACUCACCCCAUGCACAAACACCCCUUGCACACCCACCGCGUGCACACUCACCCAUGCACUAACGCCCCUUGCACCCUUACCCCGUGCACACCCACCCACGAACACCCACAUUUUGCACUCACCCUUGCACACCCAUCCUGUGCACACUCCCCCACGCACAAACACCUCUUGCACACCCGCCCUGUGUACACUCACCCCGUGCACACCCACCCAUGCACAAACACCCCUUGCACACCCACCCUGUGUACACUCACCCCUUGCACACCCACCCUGUGUGCACGUGCCCUUUGCACACUCACCCUUGCACACCCACCCCGUGCACACUCCCCCACGCACAAACACCUUUUGCACACCCACCCUGUGCACCUGCCCCUUGCACACCCACCCGUGCACAAACAGCCCUUGCACACCCACAAUAUCAUUCCUGCUGAUCCCCAUUUUUAUUUUUAUUUAUUUUUAUUUUUAUUU
Molecule: long non-coding RNA, 1098 nt
Filed under: Anser cygnoides (Swan goose)
Lineage: Eukaryota; Metazoa; Chordata; Aves; Anseriformes; Anatidae
Description: lncRNA (ENSACDG00005015190.1)
Source: RNAcentral